RNAcentral lists this long non-coding RNA (586 nucleotides) under Erythranthe guttata (spotted monkey flower). RNAcentral's name for it is "long non-coding RNA (EGUT_LNC001739)". The record is from RNAcentral. Lineage: Eukaryota; Viridiplantae; Streptophyta; Magnoliopsida; Lamiales; Phrymaceae.
UUUUCUAAGAUGAUAAUAGUUGAGGGGUGGCUGUAAUUAUCUAAACAGGAGGAGGUUUCGUAAUUUGACCAUAACUCAGGGGUGGAGAGAGAGAGAGAGAGUACCUGAAGAUCAAGACAUUGCUCCCAAUCAGAGGGCAAAGGGUUCUUAAGUUGAUGAAGAUCAACAACACCAUUAUUUGCACUGGCUUCUUCUGUACUAGUGUUCCAUUUUCUCUUAUUCAUAGCUGCAUGAAAACCGACGCCACUCUCUUCGCCUCUGUCUUCGUCGAUGCUUCUCUUCCCAUCCCUAUAUCGCCCUCGAGCAAGAGACAGUUGCGUAAACUCCAUAAAUAUAUAUUAAUUAUUUACUAUGAAACUUUUAGUACCAAAUAAAAAAUAACCUUAAAAGUGAAAAGUUAAUAGUGUUUGUAGUUUUAAGGAUGCAAGAAGAGAAGUGUGUGUAUGUAUAUAUUCUGGCAUGCAGUUAUGAGCUGAUGGGAGGGGCUUAUUAUAAAUUUGUAGUAGUAUGUAUUUUUUUUUUUCUUCUUCAUCAAACGCAUUUAAAGAAGGGCAGCCCAUGCAUUAAAUAUUGACAAGUAGAUAUC